Coturnix japonica (Japanese quail) is the source of this 607-nucleotide non-coding RNA. The record is from RefSeq and is a predicted model, not a curated record. Lineage: Eukaryota; Metazoa; Chordata; Aves; Galliformes; Phasianidae.
CUGAAAAAAAAGCCAAGAUACCAAUCUGAGUAAAUAUUUUCCAUAAGAACAGACAUCCCCCCUUCUCUGGAAAAACACACAAGCCUGCAGCAAUCAGCAAGAUGACACAAAUGGCUGACUUCACUGAGUGAGGAGGGCACCAGCUCUGACAUAGAUCAUCCCUGAUUCUCAAAGAGGUGAAGGUUAAGCCUAUACCAUUUUGUUUUGUUGGCAAAGCAAGAUUUAACAGGCCGCUUCUGCUUUCAAGAGAAGAGAAAGCAAAACAAUAUCCAGAGGAAAAGCCAGUGAUAAAGGAGAAUGUCAGGAGACUGUAACUGCACAGGACACGGUUUGUACUGAGACAUGCUCUAAGAGCAAGAUUCAGAUCAACUCACUCUAGAUGUCUGAAGAUAGUGGACAUCAAUUCCAGUACACUGAGCAUGCUCUUGCAGGCAACAUCAGAGAUCUCACUGUUUUAAGGAGUGAAAUACUGCAAGAGAUGACUGUAUCUGUCUAAUGCCUUUAGAAAGAAUGCAAAUAAUUAGCUAGAUUAGCUACCUACACAGCUAUCACUGUCAUCUUACAUAGCAGAUAUUAGGCAAGAGGAACUGUACUUUCAAGAAAAAGU